Molecule: ribosomal RNA, 780 nt
Filed under: Triticum aestivum (bread wheat)
Lineage: Eukaryota; Viridiplantae; Streptophyta; Magnoliopsida; Poales; Poaceae
Description: partial small subunit ribosomal RNA
Source: RNAcentral
AUGGAGAAUGUUGUAAUGUUGAUUGUUGGCGCUGGGCCAGCAGGCCUUGCAACAGCAGCAUGCCUUAGCCAAUUCUCAAUUCCCUAUGUCAUUGUCGAGUGUGAAAGUUGCAACGCAUCGCUUUGGCGCAACCAUGCCUACGACCGCCUCAAGCUACAUCUUGCAAAGGAGUUCUAUGAGUUGCCACACAUGUCAUACCCACUAGAUGUGCCAACAUACAUACAAAAAACUUUGUUUGCAAAGUACUUGGAUGACUAUGUUGAGCGUUUCAAUAUUCAACCCAAGUAUCUCACUAGUGUGGAGUCAUCCACAUUUGAUAAUGAAGAAAAAUGUUGGUCCAUCAUGGCACAUGACAUGGCAAAGAGCACAAUAGUCAGGUUCACGGCAAAGUUUCUUGUCGUGGCAAGUGGUGAGAAUAGUGCAGAGAAUAUUCCAAUGAUCCCCAGACUGCAAAGUUUCCUGGGUGAUGUCAUCCACUCCUCAAGCUACAAGUCAGGCAAGAGCUACUCUGGCAUGGAUGUAUUGGUCGUUGGAUCUGGCAACUCUGGAAUGGAAAUUGCUUAUGACCUUGCGGCCCAUGGUGCCAAUACUUCAAUCAUUAUACGAAGCCAGAUUCAUGUAAUGACAAAAGAAUUAAUCCGGUUGGGGAUGACACUUGCUCGCCAUCUUCCACUGAAUCUAGUGGAUAACCUCCUUGUGAUGGCGGCGAAUUUAAUAUUUGGAGACCUAUCGAGGUAUGGCAUCAGAAGGCCAAAAAUCGGUCCAGGGCUAGUGUGCUAG